This 21-nucleotide non-coding RNA is filed under the name Arabidopsis thaliana (thale cress). The record is from RNAcentral. Lineage: Eukaryota; Viridiplantae; Streptophyta; Magnoliopsida; Brassicales; Brassicaceae.
GGCCUCAUGUCUCUGGGGGUU